AAACCGGAGGGUCACUCCAAACCCCUGUG
This 29-nucleotide ribosomal RNA is filed under the name Fusarium proliferatum. RNAcentral describes it as "partial 18S ribosomal RNA". Lineage: Eukaryota; Fungi; Ascomycota; Sordariomycetes; Hypocreales; Nectriaceae. The record is from RNAcentral.